GGUCAGAGAGGCAAUUCCUGGUACUUCAGAGUAUUUAUUGAUCAAAAGAGUUCAUGAGGGUUCUGGACAGAUGCUCCGUAGGCCCACUGGACCACUGCUGAGUAUAUGUUCUUGGGCAAGUAGAACUUGAGAUUGUUGAAGUACAGCCUGUCUUUAAGAGUUGCACCUUUCUGUUUCCAGCGUGUGGUUUGUUUGUUUUUUCUUUCUUUCCAGGGUCAGUAGCUUGCUUGUUAUUCCUUCGGGAGCUUGAUGUCUGUGGGUAGGAUCUUACAUGGUGAAUAUGGGAGUUUCUUCAGCAGACACUUUUCUGUCCACUUCCCUUAGUGCACUUACAACUUAUUGAACAACUUAGUCAGCCAGAGAGUUGCCACAUGCUUUCUCUGAGAUCAGUCUUCCUUCAGAGAUCUUGCAUGCUGUGAUAGGAGCCUAUAGCUCAACUUCUUGUGCAGACAUUGUUGAG
Non-coding RNA from Pelobates cultripes (western spadefoot toad), 460 nucleotides. The record is from the annotation of a GenBank genome assembly. NCBI's taxonomy places the organism in Eukaryota, Metazoa, Chordata, Amphibia, Anura, Pelobatidae.